UCGAGGAUCUUCUGCAAUGGGCGCAAGCCUGACAGAGCGACGCCGCGUGAGGGAUGAAGGCUUUCGGGUUGUAAACCUCUUUCGCCCAUUACGAAUUCCAGUCGGUUAAUAGCCGGUUGGUUGACAAAGGUGGGUAAAGAAGCACCGGCUAACUACGUGCCAGCAGCCGCGGUAAUACGUAGGGUGCAAGCGUUACUCGGAAUCACUGGGCGUAAAGGGUGCGUAGGCGGCUCAUUAAGUUGGAUGUGAA
This 250-nucleotide ribosomal RNA is filed under the name uncultured bacterium. RNAcentral describes it as "partial 16S ribosomal RNA". It matches the Rfam family "Bacterial small subunit ribosomal RNA", at positions 355 to 598 of the family's 1533-position model. The record is from RNAcentral.